Molecule: unclassified non-coding RNA, 264 nt
Filed under: Hevea brasiliensis (rubber tree)
Lineage: Eukaryota; Viridiplantae; Streptophyta; Magnoliopsida; Malpighiales; Euphorbiaceae
Source: RNAcentral
UUAAUUUGAGAGACAAAUGCUUAGGGGAUUACAACCAAAAACAAAAGAAGGAAAAAGAAAAGGGCUUAAACCAAAAAAAAAAAAAAACCCAAAGGAUGGAUGAACGAAUGACCUGUCCCACAAGAGGAAACAUCGAUCCAUUUUGAACAGUUUCCAUACAUCGAUUCAAAACGUGCAGAUCCUAACGUAGGAAAAUUCCACUCGGUGACUAAUCAAUUGCUAAAGGUCUGACAGACAAAUGAAGUGGUGAGCCUUUUAACUUGU